This is an RNA transcript of Lotus japonicus, 4614 nucleotides long. RefSeq lists it as uncharacterized. The transcript is spliced from 4 exons. The record is from RefSeq and is a predicted model, not a curated record. Lineage: Eukaryota; Viridiplantae; Streptophyta; Magnoliopsida; Fabales; Fabaceae.
UGGGGAUAUGGAUUGAUAACAAAUGGACAUGGGAUCUCAGAUGGGCAAGGGACUUGGAAGGGUUUUUAUUGGUUCAACGAGAUGAGUUACUGCAAUUAAUUUCUUCAUUUACGCCAAUGAGAGGUAGGAGGGACAGCUGGACCUGGAUAAAGGAAAAUGAUGGGAAAUUUUCGGUAAAAUCGGCGUAUGAUAUGAUAGUGGUCAGUAAUUCUGAGAUGGAGGAGGAAGUAUUUAAAAUCCUUUGGAGGGUUCCAGCUCCCUCAAAUGCUAUAUUAGUGGGUUGGAAGUUGCUCAUUAACCGUAUUCAGUCCAAGGAAAAUUUAGAUAAAAGGAAUGUUCAUUUGGCUGAUUUGUUGUGUCCCCUUUGUUCAUCUGCAACUGAAUCUGCUGACCAUUUAUUUUUCAAUUGUUUGAGAGCUUGGCAGGUGUGGUCGUUGUGUGCUAAUUGGCUGGGUAUUUGGUUGGUGUUCACUAAUACUUCUAAGGAUCACUUUAUUCAAUUUGUUUCCUGUUUGGGUUCUAGUUUCAGGAGUGGUUUAUCACUCAUUUGGUUAGCAAUUGUUUGGCAUAUUUGGACUGGUAGGAAUGGGGUGGUUUUUAGGGAAGAAGAAUUUGAUGCUGUCAUAGUUUUUGAUCUUGCAAGGAAGAAGGCGUGGGAGUGGUUGAGGGCCAAGAAUAGUCAAUUUUGUCAUGCAUUAUCUGAGUGGUAUAUGGAACCUGUUGUGUGCCUUGGUGACAUGUAAUUUGGUAUCUUGUCUUAAGGUUUCUUUUCACGCAUGGUGAGUAUUGGUGUUUGAAAUAUGGUGUUGGGAGUCUUAUUGGAAGCUGUUCUUUAUUUUUGGGGUUCUACUCGAGCAUUAGUAUUUUGGAUACAUGUUUGGUGAAGGCUUUGGAGGUUUAUUCUGCUGGCAGAUUUGGUUUGACUCUGGAUCAGUGGGUUUUGGAUUUUGUUUAUAUUGUUUUUCUCUUGAUUUCUUGGUGGUGUUUUUGUAAUCUUUUUCUGUUUUUCCUUUUAUCACUUUUUGUAUUGGGUUGAAGUACCCCUUGUACUUGUCUUUAAUAUGAAAUUAUUGCCUAUCAAAAAAAAGACUCACUCAUAAAUGCGUUUUCUCUUUCUCUCCACCCCAACCUCCCCUUUAAUGUCGCGUCUCUUCUUAUUCAUUUUUUUUUCUCCCUCUCUUAUUUUCCCUUCUUCAUUUUUCUCGAUUUGCUUCCUUCUUUUUCUGUUUAGCCGUGCACCUAUUCCCACUAAUGCACUCAUGCAUCACCAUAAUUCAUCCCAAUAUAUUUUGAAUUUGAAAUUCAAAAUUUUCUCAAACUGUUCCCAAUCUGUUUUAUCAUUUUUCCUCAUUCCAAUUAAUUUCUUCCAUCCAUUCCCUUAAUCAAUAACCCUUUUGAAAAUUUAAAUUUAAACUUGCUCUUCCCAAUCAAGCUGUAAUCCAACUGUACACCAUCCAGCUUUGGAAACACGCACCACAUUGAAUCUUCUUCCAAGCUUCCACACAAGCUUUUAAAUCUUCUUCCAUCCCAAAUCACCAUGCGACACAAGCUUCAAAAAUUUCUCUAGCUUAUUUUGGAUUCAAUUUCUCUAAUUUAAUUUCAUCUAAAAAAUCUACAGCAUUUCUUCCCCAAUCUUCUCAUGCCCUUAACGUUUUAUUAUCAUCGUCAGCUCCGCACCAUCACCAUUCGCCAGUUAACAAUUGUUCCUUCUCCGAUCUCUCUCAGGCCCUUCGCAAAUUCGGCGAAUUUCAGAACAAGUGAACUGUUGUGUGCGAAAGGGUUCAAGCUUUAUUGCUCACUUGAUAGAGAAAUGGAUGUGAGCACUUCGCCUAUGGUGGAUUAUGCUGUUGCAGAGUGCUUAAGUGGUUGUAACUGUAGUUUGUUGUUGCUACUGUUGCAGAGGAGAAACACUCAGCAAAGAAAAAGAAAGAAAAAAUAAAAAGGUGAUAAAAUGUACCUGCAGUAUAGAUUGUGAUUGAUUAGAAAAAUGAGAUUAAUACAGUAUGUGAAGAGUGCAUUUUUAAUCAUGUCAAACAGCUUUUCAUUACUCUUUGUUUGUAUUUAUUUCGUUGGGAACCAAGCCAAACUUUUGCUCAGUUCUAAUCCAUUAUAUAAUUUUCUGUUUGAGGAAGUCGGUGACGUGCUUGCAGAAUUGAAAGAAUAUGGUCUGAAGAGGAAAGGUACUGCUGAAUUCCUUCAACAAGUAACUUCAAAAAAGGAUCAGGAGUGGGUGCACAAAGAAAUUUUCAGGUAAAGGUAUCUUUUGAAGCUAUGGCAGUUCCAACAUUCAUGCAAAGCAUACUGUUACCAUCUAAUUCAUUGCUUCAGAACAUUUGUAAAUUGUAUGCUGUAAGUUUUUACAAUUUUCAAAUUGUUUUAUUUAUUUAAAUUGGGUAAUUUUGUUGAUUGAGUAUUUUCAAGGAUGAGAAAAAUCCAAUCUUGAUUGCUUUCAUAUAUGUAGAAAUUUAUUACUAAUAUUCUCUUUGACUUGCUUUCUUUUGCUGGACUAGGUGGCUUUAUUUCUGGGCCCAGGAAGAUUUAUUCCUAUCACUAUUAAACUCCACUAUAAUUACAGAACUUCUUCUUAUUUGAUCAUGAAGAAAACUUAGAGAAGAACUGCGAAACUUUUGUGCAAACUAUAAUUGCAGAACCUAUUUUAAUAUUUUUUCUUCUUUAGUGGGUUCGUUUUGUACUAACUAUUCAUUGGAUCUCCAUGAUUUGUUGCAUGUGAAUAUCCGCAGGAAAGUGGAGAUGAUAUUUUAAUCAUCAAUUUGCAAACAAUAUUUUAGAUAAUAGAUACUACAUAUGUGCCCCCAACAGAAAGAGAUUUGGAUUCAAAUGGUAAAGAUCCAGAAGUAUGCUCAUAUUGUUUCCACUUACUAUCUUUGCAUUGUGACUAUCAAUAGCCCCACCCUACAAAUACUAGAGGAAAUGGUUAGAGACUUAUUUUAGAUUUCAAUCCAGAUAAAUGAGUUUGUCCGUCUAAGUCAGAUGAAUCAGACUUAUUUAAAAUUUUGCACUCAUGUUCAUUUUAUAAUUUAUAUGUUAGUGAUUUAUCAUGUUCUUCUUCGUUUUCUUUAGAUGGUGAACCAAUUUGAAUCAAGUUUGAAAUAGAUUGUUUUUCUGCAAAGAAAUCUCAGUGCCUGGUUUAUUCUUCUAAUUUUAAACUGAUCCUGUAUUGAUUCACUUCAGCUGCUUCUGGCUUUUCAUUUUUCUAUGCUCUUUUAGCCAACCUUUUUUAACUCUUAUUCCUUUUAGAGAAUUUUGUCAUCUAUUCCGUACCCUUUUUAAAUUGCGUCUUUGUGUGGAAUCCUAAUGCAGAAUGGAGUGAUGUUUAAGCAUAUGGUUUCACUAGAAGAAUGAACCUGGACAUGAUUCUCUAAAGAAGGAAGUGGCUUCACCAAGAACUUGACCAAAGUUAGAUGAAUGUGUUUUUCACAUAGUUAAGUUUCUGGUAUUAAUUUUUAUAGUACUUUUCACUUACUUUAUGUCACUCACAGAAAUGGGUUCUGAAAUCAUGUACAUUUUUCUGAGUUCAGGUUGGAGUGUUUAACUGACUUGAGAACAUUUGGUUUUCUGGGGUGUUUUAUGUGUGCUUAAGUAACACAUUUAGUUUUGGGGCAGCCAAAUUAGUUUGAAGUUCAUAUUGUUUCUUUUAAGUAUUAUCUCUUAUGGUAACUCAUUUCCUUCAUGAAUUGUUAUACGGUGGUAGUAUGGCUUAUAUGUUGGCUGCCAUUUUCAUUUACUGGUUUGAUUACAUCUGGUACUUGAAAUUGACAAUGGGUUUGAUGUAUAAUUUUAGGGAACUAUUUAUGCUAUGCACAUGGUUCAAAUUGCUUUGUUUGUAGUGCUGGAAUCUCUUUUUUACAGUAAAAGAAGUGCCUUUGUUGGAUGGCAGAAGCUGAAGUUGGAGCUGGAUUUCAAUUGUAUUUGUACUGAUUCCAAGAAUAAAUUAGAGAUUUUUGUCAGAUUUUUGUAAAAUAAUUGUGUGAUGAACCUAGAAGAAUGAACCUGGACAUGAUUCUCUAAAGAAGGAAGUGGCUUCACCAAGAACUUGACCAAAGUUAGAUGAAUAUGUUUUUCACAUAGUUAAGUUUCUGGUGUUAAUUUUUAUAGUACUUUUCACUUACUUUAUGUCACUCACAGAAAUGGGUUCUGAAAUCAUGUACAUUUUUCUGAGUUCAGGUUGGAGUGUUUAACUGACUUGAGAACAUUUGGUUUUCUGGGGUGUUUUAUGUGUGCUUAAGUAACACAUUUAGUUUUGGGGCAGCCAAAUUAGUUUGAAGUUCAUAUUGUUUCUUUUAAGUAUUAUCUCUUAUGGUAACUCAUUUCCUUCAUGAAUUGUUAUACGGUGGUAGUAUGGCUUAUAUGUUGGCUGCCAUUUUCAUUUACUGGUUUGAUUACAUCUGGUACUUGAAAUUGACAAUGGGUUUGAUGUAUAAUUUUAGGGAACUAUUUAUGCUAUGCACAUGGUUCAAAUUGCUUUGUUUGUAGUGCUGGAAUCUCUUUUUUACAGUAAAAGAAGUGCCUUUGUUGGAUGGCAGAAGCUGAAGUUGGAGCUGGAUUUCAAUUGUAUUUGUACUGAUUCCAAGAAUAAAUUAGAGAUUUUUGUCA